RNAcentral lists this transfer RNA (61 nucleotides) under Ictidomys tridecemlineatus (thirteen-lined ground squirrel). RNAcentral describes it as "Spermophilus tridecemlineatus (thirteen-lined ground squirrel) tRNA". It matches the Rfam family "tRNA", at positions 6 to 65 of the family's 71-position model. Rfam says of the family: Transfer RNA (tRNA) molecules are approximately 80 nucleotides in length. The record is from Rfam by way of RNAcentral. RNAcentral also lists the same sequence under 1 other name. Lineage: Eukaryota; Metazoa; Chordata; Mammalia; Rodentia; Sciuridae.
UGUGGCUCAGCGGUAGAGCGCUUGCCUAGCAUGUGCAAGGCCCUGGGUUCAAUCCCCAGCA